RNAcentral lists this long non-coding RNA (274 nucleotides) under Gossypium barbadense (sea-island cotton). Its description in RNAcentral is "long non-coding RNA (GBAR_LNC009508)". Lineage: Eukaryota; Viridiplantae; Streptophyta; Magnoliopsida; Malvales; Malvaceae. The record is from RNAcentral.
UCGUUCUUAUUCGCUUGUUCGGGAUACCUUUGAUUCUUGAUAUAUUCUAAGAUAUCAUGGAACCAAGGCCGUCCGUCUACUUCUUUCUCAAUGCUACAACAGUGUGCAGGGACCUCGUAUAUGCUCAUUUUGAGGGGCAUUAUUUCUGCUUCUCUACUUGCUUUGAACAUUGAAGCCAAAGUGGCUAGGGCAUCAGCCAGUUGGUUCUCUUCUCGUGGGAAGUAAUAAAAAGUUAUUUCUUUGAAUUCCUUGAUCAAUCCAGCCACUAAAUCGC